GCGUCAGUCGCAAGAUGAAGCGUUGAAUUGAAGCCCGAGUAAACGGCGGCCGUAACUAUAGCGGUCCUAAGGUAGCGAAAUUCCUUGUCGGUUAAAUACCGACCUGCAUGAAUGGCGUAACGAGAUGGGAGCUGUCUCAACCAGAGAUUCAGUGAAAUUGUAGUGGAGGUGAAAAUUCCUCCUACCCGCGGCAAGACGGAGAGACCCCGUGGACCUUUACUACAGCUUAGCACUG
This 235-nucleotide ribosomal RNA is filed under the name Helicobacter pylori. RNAcentral describes it as "partial 23S ribosomal RNA". It matches the Rfam family "Bacterial large subunit ribosomal RNA", at positions 1887 to 2119 of the family's 2925-position model. The record is from RNAcentral. Lineage: Bacteria; Pseudomonadati; Campylobacterota; Epsilonproteobacteria; Campylobacterales; Helicobacteraceae.